UUUAGGGACCCGAGCCAUAGCCUGCAAGGCUGGCGAGAGCCCUAUUGUUUUUUUUGUUCCCAAUGAAUCCCUAAUUAGAGGUGCUAAAAAAUGAGUAAAAUCAUGAACAACAAAAAUGAGAGACACAAGCUUUCUGCCUCUUUAAAUUCAUUCCGCUUGAUUUGCUCAUUCAGAGUCCAUAUUAAUUAAACUCAAUAUCAAGUUUUUGCUGCUCCCACGUUUCUCUUUACAGCAAGAAACAGAGGCCGCUCUCCCACUUAGGCCUUGCCAGGUAUGUGGUCAUCGUUUAGGCAAUAAAAGCAGUUGCUUAUGUCACGAGGGUGGCUUUGAACUCCCAACCUCUGGCAUGAAAAACAGACGCGCUAUACCGAAGGAGCUGAACUCAAAUGAUCUUAAGUAACAGUUGCUACCAGAUAUUUUAAGGUGCACGAGAAUACAGGAAAUGGCAUCUACACUGGAAAAAUAUUUUUUUGCUUCUGACGUAUUUAACUUUCAAAUCCCAUUUAAAAUUCUUCAAAAUAUUCAACUUUGUUUGACAUAAAUUCUUUCACACAAUGUGUCUAUGGGUGCAAAUCGAUUUUGAUGACACUUUUGGUACUACAAACUCCGAGUGAAAGGAGUUUCAACCAACUGCUGCACCAUACCAUAAUUUUAAGCAGGUUUAAAUGAGGGAAUCUGAAGAGUCAAUUACAAAAUCAAAUCAACCAGGAGAUGGACAUGUCCCCCAACAGAAUGCAGCAAAACAGUUGUGUCUGUCUGUAUUUAUCCAUUUGGCCACAAUUCAGGCGAAUCCCUAAAUGCGGUGACCUCAGCCAUGGCACAGACGGAUUGAUCUACGGCGAUCAAAUGGUUGAAAAGCAGCACAGUAAACACAUCGGAUGGAGACUGAUCAAUCUCUGCUGCUCUGAGACUCUGUGUUUGACCGUGACCACAGACGGAGAGGCGACGUAAAUAAACAGUGGCUGUGUGAACUCAGUC
Scophthalmus maximus (turbot) is the source of this 978-nucleotide long non-coding RNA. RefSeq lists it as uncharacterized. Lineage: Eukaryota; Metazoa; Chordata; Actinopteri; Pleuronectiformes; Scophthalmidae. The transcript has 3 exons. The record is from RefSeq and is a predicted model, not a curated record.